This 295-nucleotide ribosomal RNA is filed under the name uncultured bacterium. RNAcentral's name for it is "partial 16S ribosomal RNA". It matches the Rfam family "Bacterial small subunit ribosomal RNA", at positions 338 to 630 of the family's 1533-position model. The record is from RNAcentral.
CCUACGGGAGGCAGCAGUGAGGAAUAUUGGUCAAUGGCCGGAAGGCUGAACCAGCCAAGCCGCGUGAAGGACGAAGGUGCCAAACAUUGUAAACUUCGUUUGUCAAGGGACAAAAGCAGGCUCGAGAGCCUGACCGAGGGUACUUGAAGAAAAAGCAUCGGCUAACUCCGUGCCAGCAGCCGCGGUAAUACGUAUGGUGCAAGCGUUAUCCGGAUUUACUGGGUGUAAAGGGAGCGCAGGCGGCGCGUUAAGCCUGGUGUGAAAGCCCGCGGCCCAACCGCGGGACUGCAUUGGG